UUUUGUGUGUGCAUUCGACGCUCGUAUGUGCAAUUGUCAAUUCAUGGUGGGGACAGACCAUUGUUAAUUGUUGGUCUCGGUCUUAACUAGGAAUGCCUUGUACGGGUCUUUGGUUCAACAAACCACCCGGAAUACGUCCCUGCCCUUUGUACACACCGCCCGUCGCUCUUACCGAUGGACUUCUCUGUGAGUUUGAGGGACUGGAUUUUAUAUCUAUGGAAACUCAAACGAACCRGUGUGGU
Molecule: ribosomal RNA, 242 nt
Filed under: Haynesina sp. S16
Lineage: Eukaryota; Foraminifera; Rotaliida; Nonionidae
Description: partial small subunit ribosomal RNA
Rfam family: Eukaryotic small subunit ribosomal RNA
Source: RNAcentral